Molecule: ribosomal RNA, 305 nt
Filed under: uncultured bacterium
Lineage: Bacteria
Description: bacterial SSU rRNA
Rfam family: Bacterial small subunit ribosomal RNA
Source: RNAcentral
GCCUACGGGACGCAGCAGUCGAGAAUCAUUCACAAUGGGGGAAACCCUGAUGGUGCGACGCCGCGUGGGGGAAUGAAGGUCUUCGGAUUGUAAACCCCUGUCAUGUGGGAGCAAAUUAAAAAGAUAGUACCACAAGAGGAAGAGACGGCUAACUCUGUGCCAGCAGCCGCGGUAAUACAGAGGUCUCAAGCGUUGUUCGGAAUCACUGGGCGUAAAGCGUGCGUAAGCUGUUUCGUAAGUCGUGUGUGAAAGGCGCGGGCUCAACCCGCGGACGGCACAUGAUACUGCGAGACUAGAGUAAUGGG